Non-coding RNA from Python bivittatus (Burmese python), 470 nucleotides. The record is from RefSeq and is a predicted model, not a curated record. NCBI's taxonomy places the organism in Eukaryota, Metazoa, Chordata, Lepidosauria, Squamata, Pythonidae.
AAAUCUGUAUUGCUAUUUAUUUCUAGGUGAAAUAAUAAAUCUCAAUGUCUUUUUUGGGUUUUUUUUUUAGUGUUGAUUAUGAGACUUUUGACAUACUGGAGAAUGAAGAGGUGCGGCAAGGAUUAAAGAAGUAUUCAAACUGGCCAACCUACCCACAGCUGUAUGUGAAAGGUGAACUUGUUGGAGGUCUAGAUAUUGUUAAGGAACUAAAUGAAUCUGGUGAGUUGUCAUCUAUUCUGAAAGGAGAAAAUUGAUGCAAAUGAAAUACAUUAACGAAGACAACUGAAAUACAAAAAAUAUUAUUGACAUUUGCACUGGAACAGGUCAUGAUGGAAAAAACAGAACGUAAUUUCUGACUUCCUUCUCAUACUUUAUCAGGCCAUGGUAGAGGUAUAUGUAAAUGUAGAUUUUCAUACAGUUGUAAAGUUAUGAACAUCUUCAAACCGAAUUAAAAUUGAAGUUCAAAAAUG